This 497-nucleotide ribosomal RNA is filed under the name uncultured bacterium. RNAcentral describes it as "partial 16S ribosomal RNA". It matches the Rfam family "Bacterial small subunit ribosomal RNA", at positions 28 to 507 of the family's 1533-position model. The record is from RNAcentral.
GAUGAACGCUGGCGGCGUGCCUAAUACAUGCAAGUCGAGCGAACAGACGAGGAGCUUGCUCCUCUGACGUUAGCGGCGGACGGGUGAGUAACACGUGGAUAACCUACCUAUAAGACUGGGAUAACUUCGGGAAACCGGAGCUAAUACCGGAUAAUAUAUUGAACCGCAUGGUUCAAUAGUGAAAGACGGUUUUGCUGUCACUUAUAGAUGGAUCCGCGCCGCAUUAGCUAGUUGGUAAGGUAACGGCUUACCAAGGCAACGAUGCGUAGCCGGCCUGAGAGGGUGAUCGGCCACACUGGAACUGAGACACGGUCCAGACUCCUACGGGAGGCAGCAGUAGGGAAUCUUCCGCAAUGGGCGAAAGCCUGACGGAGCAACGCCGCGUGAGUGAUGAAGGUCUUCGGAUCGUAAAACUCUGUUAUUAGGAAAGAACAAAUGUGUAAGUAACUAUGCACGUCUUGACGGUACCUAAUCAGAAAGCCACGGCUAACUACGUG